RNAcentral lists this ribosomal RNA (485 nucleotides) under uncultured bacterium. RNAcentral describes it as "partial 16S ribosomal RNA". It matches the Rfam family "Bacterial small subunit ribosomal RNA", at positions 27 to 507 of the family's 1533-position model. The record is from RNAcentral.
GAUUGAACGCUGGCGGCAGGCCUAACACAUGCAAGUCGAGCGGAUGAAGGGAGCUUGCUCCUGGAUUCAGCGGCGGACGGGUGAGUAAUGCCUAGGAAUCUGCCUGGUAGUGGGGGAUAACGUCCGGAAACGGGCGCUAAUACCGCAUACGUCCUGAGGGAGAAAGUGGGGGAUCUUCGGACCUCACGCUAUCAGAUGAGCCUAGGUCGGAUUAGCUAGUUGGUGGGGUAAAGGCCUACCAAGGCGACGAUCCGUAACUGGUCUGAGAGGAUGAUCAGUCACACUGGAACUGAGACACGGUCCAGACUCCUACGGGAGGCAGCAGUGGGGAAUAUUGGACAAUGGGCGAAAGCCUGAUCCAGCCAUGCCGCGUGUGUGAAGAAGGUCUUCGGAUUGUAAAGCACUUUAAGUUGGGAGGAAGGGCAGUAAGUUAAAACCUUGCUGUUUUGACGUUACCAACAGAAUAAGCACCGGCUAACUUCGUG